This 72-nucleotide transfer RNA is filed under the name Candidatus Kaiserbacteria bacterium RIFCSPHIGHO2_12_FULL_53_13. RNAcentral describes it as "tRNA-Ala". It matches the Rfam family "tRNA". Rfam says of the family: Transfer RNA (tRNA) molecules are approximately 80 nucleotides in length. Their secondary structure includes four short double-helical elements and three loops (D, anti-codon, and T loops). Further hydrogen bonds mediate the characteristic L-shaped molecular structure. tRNAs have two regions of fundamental functional importance: the anti-codon, which is responsible for specific mRNA codon recognition, and the 3' end, to which the tRNAs corresponding amino acid is attached (by aminoacyl-tRNA synthetases). tRNAs cope with the degeneracy of the genetic code in two manners: having more than one tRNA (with a specific anti-codon) for a particular amino acid; and 'wobble' base-pairing, i.e. permitting non-standard base-pairing at the 3rd anti-codon position. Lineage: Bacteria; Candidatus Kaiseribacteriota. The record is from RNAcentral. RNAcentral also lists the same sequence under 2 other names.
GGGCCGGUAGUUCAGUGGUAGAAUGCCGCAUUUGCAAUGCGGAGGUCGCGGGUCCGAUUCCCGCCCGGUCCA